This 231-nucleotide long non-coding RNA is filed under the name Nicotiana benthamiana. RNAcentral's name for it is "long non-coding RNA (NBEN_LNC042024)". Lineage: Eukaryota; Viridiplantae; Streptophyta; Magnoliopsida; Solanales; Solanaceae. The record is from RNAcentral.
UUGGGUUCUUGAGUUUGGGUAAAAAUAAGUUUAGCAUAAUUAGUGUUGUUAAAAUUGUUUAAAAUGUAUUUUAAUAGUAAGUUUAAGAGAUAAUUAUUUUGUUCAAAACCUGUACGAAUAAGACGUGCAUGAAUGUGUUUAAGGUGAUUGAAUGAUUUAAAGCCAUGAAAUAAAGCUGCUUUUAGCUCUAACAGAGCUUUCGGAGCAGCUAAGGAUGUUGGGUUCAUGGCU